This 96-nucleotide signal recognition particle RNA is filed under the name Ignavibacteriota bacterium. RNAcentral describes it as "Ignavibacteriae bacterium signal recognition particle sRNA small type". It matches the Rfam family "Bacterial small signal recognition particle RNA". From Rfam's summary of the family: The signal recognition particle (SRP) is a universally conserved ribonucleoprotein involved in the co-translational targeting of proteins to membranes. Archaeal SRP consists of a 7S RNA and homologues of the eukaryotic SRP19 and SRP54 proteins. In most bacteria, the SRP consists of a 4.5S RNA and the Ffh protein (a homologue of the eukaryotic SRP54 protein). RNAcentral also lists the same sequence under 1 other name. Lineage: Bacteria; Pseudomonadati; Ignavibacteriota. The record is from RNAcentral.
UUCCGGGGCUCGUUAACAAGUUGUUGCCCAACUCCGUCAGGUCCGGAAGGAAGCAGCGGUUAGCAUUCAAUUUGUGUAGCGGGUUACCCGGAUUUU